Molecule: ribosomal RNA, 270 nt
Filed under: uncultured archaeon
Lineage: Archaea
Description: partial 16S ribosomal RNA
Rfam family: Archaeal small subunit ribosomal RNA
Source: RNAcentral
CAGCCCCUCGAGUGGUGGGGAUGAUUAUUUGGCCUAAAGCGUCCGUAGCCUGCCGGGUAAGUUUCCCGUUAAAUCCAGCGUCUCAAGCGUUGGACUGCGGGAAAUACUGCCUGGCUAGAGAGUGGGAGAGGUCAGCGGUAUUCUGGGGGUAGGGGCGAAAUCCUUUGAUCCCCGGAGGACCACCAGUGGCGAAGGCCGCUGACUAGAACACGUCUGACGGUCAGGGACGAAAGCUGGGGUAGCGAACCGGAUUAGAGACCCGAGUAGUCC